Long non-coding RNA from Notolabrus celidotus (New Zealand spotty), 866 nucleotides. RefSeq lists it as uncharacterized. The record is from RefSeq and is a predicted model, not a curated record. The transcript is spliced from 4 exons. Lineage: Eukaryota; Metazoa; Chordata; Actinopteri; Labriformes; Labridae.
AGCCUAAUGUGUCUUUGGCUAACACUAAAUUCAGCUAGCCGGCUGCUGCUAGCUAGCAAGAGCUAUGAAGUGUACCUGAAGUGUUUGAUUAAUCUUCUUUGACAUAUUUAAGAGUAACAAGUAAAACUGUUAAAUGUGACAGAAAUAAUAUACUGCCAGUUAAUGUUACGAACUUAAAAUUAUGCUGCUUCUAUCCUAGUGUGUCUUGGGCUAACAGAUACAGCUAGCAGGCUGCUGCUAGCUAACAAGAGUUUUGUAGUGCUAUUUCCCCUGUAGUUUUACAUUAAUCUGUUUAGCUUAAUUUUACUAUUGCAAAUGAUACAGUUAAACUACUACAAUACUGUUAGCUAGCAGGCUAAGCUAAUAGGAGAUGUACACCCAAGAAGUCCCCCUGCUGUUUAUAUUCUCAGUUUGACCAUCUUUCUGUUUCUGUCUGAACCACGGUGAAGCAGUGACCUGAUGACAUCGCCGUCCUCGAGCCACGUUUGAGUCACGCUGCAGAGCGGCCGAGCUUCUGUCAAAGAUCAACAGCUAACAUUUAAGCUGAAGACAGACAGGAAAUGUGGGGAGUAGAGCGCGGGCGAAGACAUGCAGGAGUUGGCCGACCGGCCGGGAAUCAAACCGGCGACCCCUGCGACGAGGACUCUCUGUAUGUGGGGCGCUUAGACCGCUAGGCCACCAGCGCCCCACACAUUAUUUUAACUUCACUUUUUAAUAUAUAUUUUUUAUCUCUAAGUAGCUGUCUAUUGUAUUGUCUGGAAUUGACUUAUUUGAUGUUUUUGUUAAUUUAUUCUCUUUGAUUCAUGGGGCACAGUAUUUCACCUCCAUGUAUGCUGAGGCGUGUACUUGGAAGUGACAAUAAACAG